UGCGCAGGCGGCCGGGUGUGUCAGAUGUGAAAUCCCGAGGCUUAACCUCGGAACUGCGUCUGAAACUACUCGGCUAGAGUAUUGGAGAGGGUAACGGAAUUCACGGUGUAGCAGUGAAAUGCGUAGAUAUCGUGAGGAACACCAGAGGCGAAGGCGGUUACCUGGACAAUUACUGACGCUCAGGCACGAAAGCGUGGUAGCAAAAG
Molecule: ribosomal RNA, 206 nt
Filed under: uncultured bacterium
Lineage: Bacteria
Description: partial 16S ribosomal RNA
Rfam family: Bacterial small subunit ribosomal RNA
Source: RNAcentral